GCGCCUGGCAGCGCGCGAGCGCGGCUGACGCGGUCAGCCCGGCGUGCUGCCGUCGAGCACGCGUUCGAGCGCGUCAAGCGCGC
Molecule: transfer RNA, 83 nt
Filed under: Burkholderia lata
Lineage: Bacteria; Pseudomonadati; Pseudomonadota; Betaproteobacteria; Burkholderiales; Burkholderiaceae
Description: tRNA-Arg
Source: RNAcentral